This 492-nucleotide ribosomal RNA is filed under the name uncultured bacterium. RNAcentral describes it as "partial 16S ribosomal RNA". It matches the Rfam family "Bacterial small subunit ribosomal RNA", at positions 29 to 507 of the family's 1533-position model. The record is from RNAcentral.
AGUGAACGCUGGCGGUAGGCCUAACACAUGCAAGUCGAACGGCAGCACAGUAAGAGCUUGCUCUUACGGGUGGCGAGUGGCGGACGGGUGAGGAAUACAUCGGAAUCUACUUUUUCGUGGGGGAUAACGUAGGGAAACUUACGCUAAUACCGCAUACGACCUACGGGUGAAAGCAGGGGAUCUUCGGACCUUGCGCGAUUGAAUGAGCCGAUGUCGGAUUAGCUAGUUGGCGGGGUAAAGGCCUACCAAGGCGACGAUCCGUAGCUGGUCUGAGAGGAUGAUCACCCACACUGGAACUGAGACACGGUCCAGACUCCUACGGGAGGCAGCAGUGGGGAAUAUUGGACAACGGGCGCAAGCCUGAUCCAGCCAUACCGCGUGGGUGAAGAAGGCCCUCGGGUUGUAAAGCCCUUUUGUUGGGAAAGAAAAGCAGCAGGUUAAUACCCCGCUGUUCUGACGGUACCCAAAGAAUAAGCACCGGCUAACUUCGUG